RNAcentral lists this ribosomal RNA (482 nucleotides) under uncultured bacterium. Its description in RNAcentral is "bacterial SSU rRNA". It matches the Rfam family "Bacterial small subunit ribosomal RNA", at positions 104 to 620 of the family's 1533-position model. The record is from RNAcentral.
GGGUGCGUAACACGUAGGAAUCCACCCGACAGUGGGGAACAACUCGAGGAAACUCGAGCUAAUACCGCAUAAGCCCAAGGGGGAAAGCGGGCCAAUCGCGCUGUCGGACGAGCCUGCGUCCGAUUAGCUUGUUGGUGAGGUAAUGGCUCACCAAGGCGAUGAUCGGUAGCUGGUCUGAGAGGAUGAUCAGCCCCACUGGGACUGAGACACGGCCCAGACUCCUGCGGGAGGCAGCAGUGGGGAAUAUUGGACCAUGGGUGCCAGCCUGAUCCAUCAAUGCCGCGUGUGUGAACAACGCCUUCGGGUUGUAAAGCACUUUCAUUGGGGAAGAAACCAUUACCCACAGAAGAAGCACCGGUUAAUUCCCUGCCAGCAGCCGCGGUAAUACGGAUGGCGCCCGCCUUUAUCGGAAUUACUGGGUGUAAAGCGCGCGUAUGCGGUUACGUAACUCACAUGUGAAAGCCCCGAGCUCAACUUGGGAA